GACGAACGCUGGCGGCGUGCUUAACACAUGCAAGUCGAACGGAAAGGCCCUUUCGGAGGUACUUGAGUGGCGAACGGGUGAGUAACACGCGGGUGAUUUGCCCUGCACUCUGGGAGAAGCCUGGGAAACUGGGUCUAAUACCGGACAGGACCGCACUCCUGCGGGUGGGGUGGAAAGGGUUUGCGGUGUGGGAUGAGCCCGCGGCCUUGCAGCUUGAUGGUGGGGUAAUGGCCUACCAAGGCCGCGACGGGUAGCCGGACUGGGAGGUUGGUCGGGCACAGUGGGGCUGGGGAUCGGCCCCGGCUCCUACGGGGGGCCGGCGUGGGGGAUAUUGCACCAUGGGCGCGAACCUGAUGCAGCGACGCCGGGGGGGGGGUGGCGGCCUUCGGGUUGUAAACUCCUUUCGGCAGGGACGAAGCGUUUUGUGACGGUACCUGGAGAAGAAGCACCGGCUAACUACGUG
Molecule: ribosomal RNA, 463 nt
Filed under: uncultured bacterium
Lineage: Bacteria
Description: partial 16S ribosomal RNA
Rfam family: Bacterial small subunit ribosomal RNA
Source: RNAcentral